CCUACGGGAGGCAGCAGUGAGGAAUAUUGGUCAAUGGGCGGAAGCCUGAACCAGCCAAGUCGCGUGAGGGAAUAAGGCCCUACGGGUCGUAAACCUCUUUUGCCGGGGAGCAAGGGCCGGGACGCGUCCCGGCCCGGAGAGUACUCGGAGAAAAAGCACCGGAUAACUCCGUCCCAGCAGCCGCGUUAAGACGGAGGAUGCGAGCGUUAUCCGGAUUUAUUGGGUUUAAAGGUUGCGUAGGCGGGCUGUUAAGUCAGCGGUAAAAAUUCGGGGCUCAACCCCGGCCGGCCGUUGAACCUGGGGGCCGUGAGAGGGCGAGAAGAAGGCGGAAUGCGUGGUGUAGCGGUGAAAUGCAUAGAUAUCGCGCAGAACCCCGAUUGCGAAGGCAGCCUGCCGGCGCCCUACUGACGCUGAGGCACGAAAGUGCGGGGAUCGAACAGGAUUAGAUACCCUAGUAGUC
Molecule: ribosomal RNA, 460 nt
Filed under: uncultured bacterium
Lineage: Bacteria
Description: partial 16S ribosomal RNA
Rfam family: Bacterial small subunit ribosomal RNA
Source: RNAcentral